CUUUAUAAAGCAGGAUAUAAGUGCCCAUGAAAAGAUUUGUGUAAGAGCCACUUAGGUAACCCUCCAACUCUUUUACUGCUGGUCCUAAAUGGACACUUGAAGAUUCUAAGUUUGUUUAUACUUAACUACCAGUUGUUUUCCUAAGUGGGCUCUAGAACUAGAAAAUACUCUUCGGACACAAGGACUCACCUAGAGUAAAAAGAAAAAAUGUCAGAACUCUGGAGUACAAGAAGGGAGAUGAAAUAAGAAUGUAUUACUGUUGUCACUAAUGAAAACAGGAAAAAAAAAUUAGUGAAACCAAACUGUGGCUCUUUGGAAAGGUCAAUACAAUUGAUCAAUCUCUAGCAAGACUGACAAAAAAAGACAACACAAAUUACACUAUCAGAAAUGAAGAGGAACUUCAUUACAGAACCUGGAAAGGAUAAGACAUAAAAAGGAAAACAAUUCUAUUCCUUCUUCAAUGUUACUAUUCAACCAUGCUGUCCUAAACAGUGAACUGUGUUCCAAAAACUAAGGAAA
Hyaena hyaena (striped hyena) is the source of this 519-nucleotide long non-coding RNA. RefSeq lists it as uncharacterized. The record is from RefSeq and is a predicted model, not a curated record. Lineage: Eukaryota; Metazoa; Chordata; Mammalia; Carnivora; Hyaenidae. The transcript is spliced from 4 exons.